ACACUCCUGCGGGAGGCAGCAGUGGGGAAUAUUGCACAAUGGGCGCAAGCCUGAUGCAGCCAUGCCGCGUGUAUGAAGAAGGCCUUCGGGUUGUAAAGUACUUUCAGCGGGGAGGAAGGUGUUGAGGUUAAUAACCUCAGCAAUUGACGUUACCCGCAGAAGAAGCACCGGCUAACUCCGUGCCAGCAGCCGCGGUAAUACGGAGGGUGCAAGCGUUAAUCGGAAUUACUGGGCGUAAAGCGCACGCAGGCGGUCUGUCAAGUCGGAUGUGAAAUCCCCGGGCUCAACCUGGGAACUGCAUUCGAAACUGGCAGGCUAGAGUCUUGUAGAGGGGGGUAGAAUUCCAGGUGUAGCGGUGAAAUGCGUAGAGAUCUGGAGGAAUACCGGUGGCGAAGGCGGCCCCCUGGACAAAGACUGACGCUCAGGUGCGAAAGCGUGGGGAGCAAACAGGAUUAGAAACCCGAGUAGUCCCA
This 473-nucleotide ribosomal RNA is filed under the name uncultured organism. RNAcentral describes it as "partial 16S ribosomal RNA". It matches the Rfam family "Bacterial small subunit ribosomal RNA", at positions 333 to 797 of the family's 1533-position model. The record is from RNAcentral.